This is a long non-coding RNA of Oncorhynchus kisutch (coho salmon), 431 nucleotides long. RefSeq lists it as uncharacterized. The transcript is spliced from 3 exons. NCBI's taxonomy places the organism in Eukaryota, Metazoa, Chordata, Actinopteri, Salmoniformes, Salmonidae. The record is from RefSeq and is a predicted model, not a curated record.
CGUGACACACAUGCACAGGAUACAGAAGUUGUAAACGAGCAGAUAUCAUCGUGCCUUGUGUAUAAAAUGUAAGAUAAGCAGGGAUUCAGCCCCCCUUGAGGUUGUUGAAAGGGCAACCAAGGAAGUGAGAGAAAGAAGUCCAUUCGAACAGCAGCAAGGGAUGAAACAUUUAAUGAAUGACUAUGAAGAGGACACCAUCCAACUGGAAGGACGUCUUCGAAUGGAUUUACCCCAAGGCGGCUAAACUUACCCUGUCCCUAUGCUGUGCAAAGAGACCACUUUUUUUGUACAAGCUAUGUUUUCAAAACUGUUAUACGUUUAUGAAUUCUGAUUAUUUCCAGAGAUGCACAACAUCCUAAAAUAUGUAGAUAUCUUUGUUAGAAAGACUAUAUUUCCCUUGACGUAGUGAUGCUGAAUGUAAUAAAUGGCUC